This is a long non-coding RNA of Leopardus geoffroyi (Geoffroy's cat), 555 nucleotides long. RefSeq lists it as uncharacterized. The transcript has 3 exons. NCBI's taxonomy places the organism in Eukaryota, Metazoa, Chordata, Mammalia, Carnivora, Felidae. The record is from RefSeq and is a predicted model, not a curated record.
CGCGUGCGUCAGCGUCGCCAGCCCAACCAGACGGCACGUGGGGGGAAGAAGGUGGCCUUAAAGGGCCAGCCGCCUUCGGCCGGCAGGGUCGCAGCUGUGAGUUUGGCCUUGGAAAGGAGGAAUGAAAUGAGAGGUGGGGAAAUCUGUUGGAGCGAGAGGACAUGCAGGAUAGACGUUAGGAAGGACAGGAGGAGAUCGCGGGUGACCAAGGGCACAUUGAAAGGCCCACGCAAACCUGGUGGCCGAGUGACAACAGUACUUUGGGGGAGCCUCGCAGAGGUUUGUGGAAGGUCUCUGCGAUGUCUCCCCCUCUCGUGGCGGGGGCAGCAGGGAAGCGAUGUAUGAAGCAAGAGUUAUCAAGAAAGGGCCCGAAAGCUGUCCUCUGCUGGAGGGUAAUCUCUGCACCCGACGUGGGGCUCAAACUCACGACCCCGAGAUCAAGGGCUGGAGGUUCUUCCGACCAAGCCGGCCAGUAACCUCAGGCUGGUUAUAUUUUAUUUUAUUUUGUUUUGUUUAUUAUUUAUUAUAUUUUAUUGUAAUUGUUUUAAUGUUUAU